RNAcentral lists this ribosomal RNA (442 nucleotides) under uncultured bacterium. RNAcentral's name for it is "partial 16S ribosomal RNA". It matches the Rfam family "Bacterial small subunit ribosomal RNA", at positions 338 to 795 of the family's 1533-position model. The record is from RNAcentral.
CCUACGGGCGGCAGCAGUAGGGAAUCUUUCACAAUGGGCGAAAGCCUGAUGGAGCAACGCCGCGUGCAGGAUGAAGGCCUUCGGGUUGUAAACUGCUUUUAUAAGCGAGAAAUAUGAUGGUAACUUAUGAAUAAGGAUCGGCUAACUACGUGCCAGCAGCCGCGGUCAUACGUAGGAUCCGAGCAUUAUCCGGAGUGAAUGGGUGUAAAGAGUUGCGUAGGUGGCAUAAUAAGUAGCUAGUGAAAUCUGGUGGCUCAACCAUUCAGACUACUAGCUAAACUGUUAAGCUCGAGACCGUUAGUGGUAACUGGAAUUUCUAGUGUAGGAGUGAAAUCCGUAGAUAUUAGAAGGAACACCAAUAGCGUAGGCAGGUUGCUGGGACGGUUCUGACACUAAGGCACGAAAGCGUAGGGAGCAAACGGGAUUAGAUACCCUAGUAGUC